RNAcentral lists this long non-coding RNA (1091 nucleotides) under Gallus gallus (chicken). RNAcentral's name for it is "lncRNA (ENSGALG00010028990.1)". The record is from RNAcentral. Lineage: Eukaryota; Metazoa; Chordata; Aves; Galliformes; Phasianidae.
CCCAGCUGCCUUUCCCCAGAUGCCCCAUCCCUGUGCAUACAGCCAGAGUGGGGGCCGUGGCUCUGCUCUGAGCAGCGCGAGGAGAAAGCACAGGAAGUUGUUUAACAUUUCACCGACAGAAAAACAGCACAGCCCUUUCCCAUCCCAUCUCCCGUGGUCCUCACAGCCGCGUGGGAUGGGUGAUGCCCAUCUCUGACCCCUGAAGUGCACGGAGGUACCGCAGAUCGCUGUGGAUCGCCCUCAGCACACUGCGGGUGAGCGCAGCCACGGCAGCUUCUGGAUGCCAUGUGUGGAUGCAGCCCAAGGAAUGUUCCAGGGCGCUGUGACUCCCACUGCUGGGAUGGCUGGAGGCUCCGGGAAAGUCAUAAACGCAGCGUGAGCACAGCCAGGUCCCAGGGGGUAAAGGAAAGCGCUGAAAUCUGUUAAUUUUUAGUAAGUCUGAUGCCCUGGGGCCCACGUCGGUGCCGCGUGGCCACGGCUGAGUGCACUGCAGCUCCCACAGCGCGGGGCUGAUCCGGUGGGAAGCGGAGCCCCCGUCCUCUCCCCACCUCACCAGGAUCCGAUGCGCGCGCUGAGGCUGAGCCCGAAUUCCUGACCCCGCCGUGGGUCCGUGUUGGCUGCCUGGAGGCGAGACGGGCCCCAGCGGGGGACGGUGGGGGCCGCAGUGCUGGCCCUGAGCCCUCCGUCACUACUUGAGGAAGACGAGCAGGAAGAAGGUGGCGACGAUGAGGAUGAGGAUGCCGGCGGCGAAGCCGAGGCGCAGGUUCUCCACGGAGUGCCCCGAGGCCCAAUGGGCACCGCUGCCUUCAUUCUCUUCCUCCUCCUCCCCGGCUGUGAGCCGGGCGCGGUGCGGGGUCCCCGGGAUUGCCGUCAUCCCGCGGCCGCCCGGGGCCAUCUCGGGCAUCAGCGUCACCAUCCUGCAGAAGGGGCAACUGAUGAAAGCAACAGUGGCGGCGCGGCACACCAACUUGUGCAGGCAGUUCUGGCAGAGGGAGUGGCUGCAGGGCAGCCGUUGGGGCGCCCGGCCGCCCCUGACGCCCUGGUACGCCUCAUAGCAGAUCCCGCACUCCCCGCCGCUCUCCGGCCCCGCC